This 430-nucleotide ribosomal RNA is filed under the name Acidobacteriota bacterium. RNAcentral's name for it is "Acidobacteria bacterium partial 16S ribosomal RNA". It matches the Rfam family "Bacterial small subunit ribosomal RNA", at positions 355 to 776 of the family's 1533-position model. The record is from RNAcentral. Lineage: Bacteria; Pseudomonadati; Acidobacteriota.
UGGGGAAUAUUGGACAAUGGGCGAAAGCCUGAUCCAGCCAUGCCGCGUGUGUGAAGAAGGCCUUUUGGUUGUAAAGCACUUUAAGCGAGGAGGAGGCUACUUAGAUUAAUACUCUAGGAUAGUGGACGUUACUCGCAGAAUAAGCACCGGCUAACUCUGUGCCAGCAGCCGCGGUAAUACAGAGGGUGCGAGCGUUAAUCGGAUUUACUGGGCGUAAAGCGUGCGUAGGCGGCUUCUUAAGUCGGAUGUGAAAUCCCUGAGCUUAACUUAGGAAUUGCAUUCGAUACUGGGAAGCUAGAGUAUGGGAGAGGAUGGUAGAAUUCCAGGUGUAGCGGUGAAAUGCGUAGAGAUCUGGAGGAAUACCGAUGGCGAAGGCAGCCAUCUGGCCUAAUACUGACGCUGAGGUACGAAAGCAUGGGGAACAAACAGG